RNAcentral lists this ribosomal RNA (495 nucleotides) under uncultured bacterium. RNAcentral describes it as "partial 16S ribosomal RNA". It matches the Rfam family "Bacterial small subunit ribosomal RNA", at positions 28 to 507 of the family's 1533-position model. The record is from RNAcentral.
GACGAACGCUGGCGGCGUGCCUAAUACAUGCAAGUAGAACGCUGAAGGAGGAGCUUGCUUCUCUGGAUGAGUUGCGAACGGGUGAGUAACGCGUAGGUAACCUGCCUGGUAGCGGGGGAUAACUGUUGGAAACGAUAGCUAAUACCGCAUAACAGUAGAUAUCGCAUGAUAUCUACUUGAAAGGUGCAGUUGCAUCACUACCAGAUGGACCUGCGUUGUAUUAGCUAGUUGGUGAGGUAACGGCUCACCAAGGCGAAGAUACAUAGCCGACCUGAGAGGGUGAUCGGCCAACAUGGGAAUGAGACACGGCCCAGACUUCUACGGGAGGCAGCAGGAGGGAAUCUUCGGCAAUGGACGGAAGUCUGACCGAGCAACGCCGCGUGAGUGAAGAAGGGUCUCGGAUCGUAAAGGUCUGUUGUAAGAGAAGAAAGAGCGUGAGAGUGGAAAGUUCACACUGUGACGGUAUCGUACCAGAAAGGGACGGCUAACUACGUG